Non-coding RNA from Sus scrofa (pig), 4479 nucleotides. The record is from RefSeq and is a predicted model, not a curated record. Lineage: Eukaryota; Metazoa; Chordata; Mammalia; Artiodactyla; Suidae.
GAAAGGAAUGUUUUUGACAAAGGAUCCCAUCUGUGUCACUCAAUUCUACACUGGCUAGAUGCUCCUUGCCUGUUUUUUUUUUUUGUUUGUGUUUUUAAAUUUUAUGGCUGCACCUUUGGCAUAUGGAAGUUCCUGGGCCAGGGACUGAAUCUGAGCCACAGCUGCAACCUACACCUUAGCUCCAAUAAUGCCAGAUCCUUGAACCCACUGGGCUGGACUGGGGAUAGAAUCCAUACCUCUGCAGUGGGAACUCCUAGAUGUAUCUAUCUUGUCUGAUUUGCUAAGAUUUCAUGUUCCCUCUUUCCCAUCGGAUCAUCUACCCCUAACAGGUGGGGAGCAGCAGUAAAGUCAACACUGCUAUUUAUCAAGCGCUGAGAAUGGACUGAUUUCUUAGAGUGGCCAGGGGAGGGAGAAGCAGUGUAAUUUCCCUCUUAUAAAUACCCAGCACAGACUUUUGACAUUAGCAUGUGUCUGCUGGUGAUGACAGUGGUGACAUGUUAAUGACUGAUAUCUGGUUGUCACGCCCACACUCUUUGCUCCUUUCAGUGAGGGUGGUGUGGGUACAGAGUGACAAAGUGAGCAGGGCCAGAUCUGGGUAAACUAGUGGCCACCAAGGUGGCGUCACCCAAGCCUGCUCUAUGCAGAUGACUGUGGGGGCCCUGCUGUGGGACCCGACAGUCCCACUUUCAGAGAAACUACAUGGAGUAAUAGUCUGGGUGUGCAGGAGGCCUCUGUUAAAAUGCAGAAAGGUAGUUGUCAACAACAGGUAUUCACAGUGGGGGAGAUGCCUACAGAUGUGAGCCUGCGUUACAGUUCACCACGGGCUCUGUUGGGUAGAAAGGAUGCCACAUGAAUGCUUUUUAGGUGAGUAUCGUGCAUGAUUCUGAGGGACUAGGAUGCCAGAGGUGAGGAGGAGAGACCAUUUGGCCCCUGAAACGGAGGCUGUAAAGGGCAUGAGUGGCUCUGGGUGGCCUAAGGACCCUGAACGCAUGCACUGGGCGUGGAGAACUGAGGCUGAGAGCUUUCCUUCUGGGGCCAGUGGCUAAGCCUACCUGGGGCAGCCCUCAGGGCACCUGCAGCCAGCAGGACUGGGCAUCCCUGGAGGAAGUCCCUCUGGCUGGCUGAGAUUGCCAGAGAGCAGAAGGUCUGCCCUGUUGCACACAGCCCCACGACUUUCUUUUGAUUUUAAUAGUCUUGAAUAGAAAUGUUCUCCAGUAGCUUUGCAGUUCUCUUUCUUCCUCUCCCCCCCUCCCCUGAUCCCCACCCCCAGACAGCAGUAUCUUUUUAAUUUUUUUUUCCCCACCCAAAGACUUGCAGACAAAUACCAACCACUCCUCACUGAAUCUGAGGUGGGAUGUCCAGGCUCCGCUUGGGGCCACCCCUGCAUCCCUGUGGCAGCCCCUGGACAGAACCCUGGGGCUCCAAGGAACACAAUUUGAAAGUGACUGUGGAGAAAACAGCGCGGGACCUUGAGUCAGAAGGUCCUGGAAGGAAGCCAAGCUCUACCCCGUAUUAGUCACAUAAGCCUGUCUCUCAGCCCCCACUGAGACUUUGCCUCAUUUUUCAAAUGGGAGAUGAUAACAUGAGCCCUGCCUUUACCCCAGGAUUAUCAUGUGAAUCAUGUGAUAAUCAAAUAGGUGGAAAGUGAUCCCCAUCCAAGCUUCCAUUGUCCUUCACGUUAUACCCACCACUGGCUGCUUAAAAUCCACUGACCGUGACUUCGCACCCUCCUGCAGGGUCAAGAAUGUGAACAUCAUGAUUCUGAGCCAUCACUUACUGCAGCCCUUGGAAAUCAGAGGGAGGCAGAAACUCCUUUCAAGAGCCUGAUGACUAUGCCUCUUUGUUAAUUCUGAUGUAUGCCUUUCUAUUUUUUCCAUCUCCUUCCUUGUCAGACUCCUGGCUGUCACUUCUCUCCGCGCUAAGGGUGCCUGUCGAAUCCCCAGUUGGCUGCCUCUUAUCCAUUGUGGAGUUGACAAGUGGAUAAUGAAGUUGAUGAGAACCCUGUGUAAAGUUAGGUACACAGCUCAGGUGAAGUGUAUCAUCGUGUACCUCUAUGUACCAUCUGUUCAGCAGCUAAGGAUAUUUCUAACUUCCAUCUUGCCUGUGUCUCAGAUGAAGGCAGCUGCAAAACAGAGGGAUUGCCCUUUACACUCAUGACUUCAAAACCUGUAUUGAGUUUGGGAGCCACCAGCCAACCCUCACGCAUGCUCCUCUGCUGCCAGACCCAUAGGAGGACCCUGGGUCAAGGUUGAAUUGACAGAAACAGGUGUCUUUAUGCCAAGUUCUCUGACACCAGGUUCUGGCUGCCUUGGGUCCUUUGGUUUUCUUUCCUUCCCUGGGCCGCUGUGUUCCACCAGGUAACACAGGUAGCUCACAUUUCCCUAGGGCUUCUACCCUUUCAGGCCCCACGGUGAGUACUUUGCAUUAUUAUUAUUAUUUUUGUCUUUUUGUCCUUUUAGGGCCACACUCGCAGCAUAUGGAGGUUCCCAGGCUAGGGGGUGAAUCACAGCAACGCCAGAUCUGAGUCGCAUCUGCGACCUACACCACAGCUCAUGUCAAUGCCAGAUCCUUAACCCACUGAGCAAGGCCAAGGAUCAAACCCCCAACCUCAUGGUUCCUAGUCGGAUUCAUUUCCCCUGUGCCACAAUGGGAACUCCCUGAAUUCUUAUUCUCAAUUCAUCCUCAAAACAACCUGAGAAUAUAGAUGCUGUUCUUUCCUUCUUAAAGAUAAGAAAACUGAGCAAAGAGAGGUUGAAGAGCUUGCUUAAGGUCACAGAUUUUUAAGAAACAGAAUCAGAGUUGGAACCCUGCCUGAUGUAGUACAGAUUCUUCCUUCUGAGUUCUCAACAGUGAAUCCAAGGCCCUGCUGCAUCCUGGGUGUCCACGUUUUUUCCUCCAAAAGGUGAGUGGUCUGCACUGGAAAUCUCACAUGCACCAUUCAGUCCACUGAGAACAAGGAAAGAUGUCCUCCAGGGAGCAGAGGGGUGCCCCCCCCACAUGAGGUUCUGUGGGGGUGGGGGGAUGGGGCUACAGGUAGACAAGAGUCAGGUGGUAUGAGUUCUGAAGGAGUAGGAAGGUUGCUUGAAAAGUACUGCCUCCACCUGCUGGUUGAUGCCUGAAAAUUCCUUUCCCUGGGAUUCAACCUUUCCUAUCAUGGUCACGAGUCAGACUUAACAUAUGGCCAGAGUUAGGAGAUAUUUAUAUUUUAAUAUUCAUAGUAAAGUGUAAAUGACUGAUACCGGCUCCCUUUUAAAGAUCCAUGGAGGGUUUUGAGAGAAGGAAGAAGCAUCCAGUGGUGCUCCUGUGUGUGUAAAGAAGGAUGGGAAAGAAGAGAGGGGACAACAAACUGAGGAUGGAUGCUCUAAUGUGGGAAAAGGGAUGCAGAAAGGGGAGGCUGAGAGAUUAGACUCUACCAGCUCUGCACUUUUGUCUAAAACCAGACCUGGCUCCAGAUACUCUCAUUCUCUUAUACCAUCAGAGAUGUUCGUUGCAUAAAGUUAAUUAUGGCACCAGGCACCACAGAGGAGCAUAAAAAACAUAGAAGACAUUUGGCAUUUGAUCUACAGAGUGUCCAGAUUCAGAAGCAAUUUGAAGCAAAAAACCAAAGAAUGAUGGAAUUGCUGGGGGAAGAAAAGCAGCUAUUGUUCCUGUUUCCAGAUGGGGAUACCAAGGCACAGAGCGGUUUCCUGACCCCCAACUUCCCUCCUCACUUGUCACCCUCUAUCUGCACGUGUGUACUGCUGUCUGCUCUGCUCUCAGACAAGAGGGACCACCACGCCUUACCCUCUGCCUGUUGGUCAGGGUGGAAGCAUGGAUGGUGAGUCAGGUGCCUAAAGGGGGAUCCUGAGAGAGAAAGGAGAAAAGCAAACCACUGUUCUUCUGGGGCUGAGCCCCAGCUCCAUGCAGCCCUGUAUCCAGCUCUGUGGCCAGCUCUCCUGGCUGGGAACUACAUCUGGGGCUAAAGAGCUGUGUGGGUAAACUCUGGGACUGUUAAAGUAUUUUAGUCUACAUAAGUUUCCCACUUAAACACAGACUCCAUGAAGGCAGGGACCUUGUCUACAGCCUUGUGUUUCAGUUUUGUAUCCCAGCACCUAGACCAUAGUUGGUAUUCAAAUAUUUGUUGAUGGAAUAUUUCGUAUUUUAGUUUUAAAAAUUGCAUAGUUGAUGUGCAAUAUUAUAUGUUACAGGUGUACAAUAUAGUGAUUCACAAUUUUUCAAGGUUAUAAAAUAUUGGCUAUAUUCCCAAUGCUGUACAAUAUAUCCAUUAGCUUAUUUAUUUUAUGUUUAGUAGUUUGUACCUCUUAAUUCCCUACCUCUAUCUUGCCCCUUUCCUAUUCCUUCUCCCCAGUGGUAACCCCUAGUUUGUUCUCUAUAUCUGUGAGUCUGUUUUUCUGUUACACUCGCUAGUUUACUUUUUAGAUUCCACAUUUAAAUGAUAUCAUACAGUAUUUGUCUUUCUCUGUCUGACUUAGACUACUA